UUAAAUUGAAGAGUUUGAUCAUGGCUCAGAUUGAACGCUGGCGGCAGGCCUAACACAUGCAAGUCGAACGGUAACAGGAAGAAGCUUGCUUCUUUGCUGACGAGUGGCGGACGGGUGAGUAAUGUC
This 126-nucleotide ribosomal RNA is filed under the name Escherichia coli. Its description in RNAcentral is "partial 16S ribosomal RNA". It matches the Rfam family "Bacterial small subunit ribosomal RNA", at positions 1 to 117 of the family's 1533-position model. The record is from RNAcentral. Lineage: Bacteria; Pseudomonadati; Pseudomonadota; Gammaproteobacteria; Enterobacterales; Enterobacteriaceae.